RNAcentral lists this ribosomal RNA (468 nucleotides) under uncultured bacterium. RNAcentral describes it as "partial 16S ribosomal RNA". It matches the Rfam family "Bacterial small subunit ribosomal RNA", at positions 28 to 507 of the family's 1533-position model. The record is from RNAcentral.
GACGAACGCUGGCGGCGUGCUUAACACAUGCAAGUCGAACGGAAAGGCCCUGCUUUUGUGGGGUGCUCGAGUGGCGAACGGGUGAGUAACACGUGAGUAACCUGCCCUUGACUUUGGGAUAACUUCAGGAAACUGGGGCUAAUACCGGAUAAGAGCUCCUGCUGCAUGGUGGGGGUUGGAAAGUUUCGGCGGUUGGGGAUGGACUCGCGGCUUAUCAGCUUGUUGGUGGGGUAGUGGCUUACCAAGGCUUUGACGGGUAGCCGCCCUGAGAGGGUGACCGGCCACAUUGGGACUGAGAUACGGCCCAGACUCCUACGGGAGGCAGCAGUGGGGAAUAUUGCACAAUGGGCGGAAGCCUGAUGCAGCAACGCCGCGUGCGGGAUGACGGCCUUCGGGUUGUAAACCGCUUUCGCCUGUGACGAAGCGUGAGUGACGGUAAUGGGUAAAGAAGCACCGGCUAACUACGUG